Molecule: ribosomal RNA, 460 nt
Filed under: uncultured bacterium
Lineage: Bacteria
Description: partial 16S ribosomal RNA
Rfam family: Bacterial small subunit ribosomal RNA
Source: RNAcentral
CCUACGGGUGGCAGCAGUGGGGAAUAUUGGUCAAUGGGCGCAAGCCUGAACCAGCCAAGUAGCGUGAGGGAUGACUGCCCUACGUGUUGUAAACUUCUUUUGUAGGGGAGUAAAGUGAGGCACGUGUGCCUUUUUGUAUGUACUUUAUGUAUCAGGCUCGGCUAACUCCGCGCCAGCAGCCGCGGUAAUACGGAGGAUCCGAGCGUUAUCCGGAUUUAUGGGGUUUAAAGGGAGCGUAGAUGGGGUGUUAAGUCAGUUGUGAAAGUUUGGGGCUCAACCGUAAAAUUGCACUUGAUACUGGCAGUCUUGAGUACAGGUGAGGUAGGCGGAAUUCGUGGUGUAGCGGUGAAAUGCGUAGAUAUCACGAAGAACUCCGAUUGCGAAGGCAGCUUACUAAACUGCCACUGACAUUGAGGCUCGAAAGUGUGGGUAGCAAACAGGAUUAGAUACCCGUGUAGUC